Molecule: long non-coding RNA, 2415 nt
Organism: Salvelinus sp. IW2-2015
Lineage: Eukaryota; Metazoa; Chordata; Actinopteri; Salmoniformes; Salmonidae
Source: RefSeq, a predicted model, not a curated record
GGGACCUGAACAAGGUCAUCAUCAUAGACAACUCCCCAGCCUCCUACUCUUUCACCCAGACAACGCUGUGCCUGUGGCGUCGUGGUUCGAUGACAUGGCCGACACCGAGCUCCUGGAUCUAAUCCCCUUCUUCGAAGGGCUCAGUAAAGUGGAAGAUGUCUACACAGUGCUCAGGCAACAGAGGGACUCCAGCUAGCAGUGCUGUCAGUCACCCUACCCCUCUACUACUGCCAUCUACAGGACAGACCGAGAACCGCGGCCUUAAAGCGUCUUCACACCAACCGUACACCCCCUCAGCCUACCGUCCACCAGAUCAACCACAAGACUUUCACCUCCAAGCCCACCCCUCUUCUUCAACCCUUCAGAACCACGCUAGUACUGCCCUCUAUUGGGGAAACAGAGGACUUGAUCCUCCAGAACACGAUCUACCAUCCCUCAACCACAGAUGGGCUUGUGUAGAUGGAUGUUGUGGGUUAUAAUGAGUUAGGUUUUUAUACAGUGCCUUUCAUCAAAUGUCAUUGGAACAUACAGGACAGUCAAGUAGAGGGAAUCUACAGCAGUCUUCACAAUGAAGAAAAAACAUGUCGCAGGAAGGUAAUGGGAGAGAACCCCCAGGAUCCAAUCAGAAUCAGUUCUACAACGCCGGGUUGGAGUCGAUAAGUUUCCGGAAGACCGAACAGUUCUAGAACUCUGUAUGGAAAAGCAAAUYAUAGCUGUAUGAAUGGAUAUUUACUACUUUUAACACUUUAAUGUGRUUUUUAUUUUAUUCACUUAUUCCCCAAGAGACAAUUUAAAAAAUUUAACAAGCACAGUAUUGGCUUUGUGUAAGUCAAGUGGUUUUACUUCUUUCAUCGCUCAGCUAGUAUCAUAAUGACUAGCAGAAUGGGCAUCAGUACUUGUUAAGGGGGACGGAAUCAUAGAGAAUGACAUUUAUCAGUUACUGCAGCUAUCAAAACGUUCCAUGUCCCUUAAUCGUAUUUGUUUAAUUAGUUUUUUUAUUAAAACCAUAGGAAUAUGUGCGAUAAUGUGCCAGAUAACAUUUAUACGGUUAAUGGACCCGUUUUCAUAAAUACAGUAGUCAGAUGACUGAACUGCACCUUAAAUUACAAUAUAAUCUUUUAGGAUUUUUUGGAUUACAUUGUCUGUGGACUAUGGACCUCAACCCAGACAGACUAAAUGCUCAGACACAUGGACACAGUACCAGUACCAGUCAAUGGCCUGGAAAACCAUUGGUAUUCUGCAAGAGGACCUGGAUAUGUGUUGGAAAAACAUAUUUAGAUUAUGUCCAGGCAAACUGUUGGUCGUCCCUUUGCUGCCGUAUCAACGCUACAUCCAUGGAGGAGGGCUGGGCGACUAUAGUGUGAAUACCGGUAUGGAUCUGCAUACCGCUAUAUAUUUUUACAAUAACAGAAUUUUGAUACAGUGCUAAAUUAAAUGAAAAGUUCUACAAAUUGGACUAGUUCACUGUCAGUUUUGUCCUGGUUUGGUUGAGUAUAAAACCAUCAGAAUGGAGAAAGCCCAUUUAAAAUCACAAAGAAUUUAUUUGUUGCCAUUCUAGGUCAUGCACUAAUCAUAAAACACAUUUAGACAAAAAAUAUAUUUUGGCUGUAACGCCCAGCCUUACCAUGGAGGAACGGUGUUGAGACAGUGUGUGUUAGCCAUCUGGUUUUGACAAGCACACUUCUCCCUCUUUACUGGAAAAAGUACUUGAAUACUUUCCCUUUUUGAUUACCUCUUUUUAAAGGACUGCAAAUACUAUGUUUCUUCAGACCAGAUUGUAGGAUUUGGGUAGUUUGGUUUUUAAGCUUCUGACACAAGGUAGGACUAUAUUAAUCGCUACUUACCUGGGUUUGGAACAGUUCAAUAAUAGUUAUUUGUAAGUAAAAACUAAGAGAUGGUCUAUCAGGAAGUGAACAGGAAGAGUAGUUUAAUGGAUUGAGUGAUUCGUAUUGAUUGAUACAGUUUAAUGAAUGCAUGGGGAAAAGCCACUGUGUUGGAGUUGACUAAAGGCCUACUAAAAUACCUUAUGAAAUAAGAUGAUUCAGAGUUUAAAUAACCAGUAGACACAUGAUAAAUCUAUCAGUAUUAAGAAAUAAUACAUUUUUAAUGUUUAACAUGUUUUACUAAAUUUCACAUUCCAACUUAAAACACUCACCAAGUGCCUGUGUCAAUCAAGUUAGAUACAAAAGACAAGACAUUUUUAAAAUUUGAUUCAUCUUUUUCUUUUGGCAAGUGGGUUGGCCCUUUUAGUAUUAUCCAAAGGAUGAGCAGAAAUCACUGUAGUACAAAUCCAGAAUGUUGCGGGCUCUCUAACAAUGCAUUCAUGGAUUCACACACACAAUAGGAACUGGGCGAAUCCUGGUUUGAAAUUCAAGCCACCCCAAGCCAUCUAGAUAAUGUGACAUCUAGAUACGA